AAUGGCGCGGACAAAGGGUCGCGAGCGCGCGAGCGUGAGCCAAUCCCAAAAACCGCGNCUCAGUUCAGAUCGCAGGCUGCAACUCGCCUGCGUGAAGGCGGAAUCGCUAGUAAUCGCAGAUCAGCAUGCUGCGGUGAAUACGUUCCCGGGCCUUGUACACACCGCCCGUCACACCAUGGGAGCUGGCCAUGCCCGAAGUCGGAGCACCCGCCGAAGGCAGGGCUGGUGACUGGGGUGAAGUCGUAACAAGGUAGC
Molecule: ribosomal RNA, 255 nt
Filed under: uncultured cyanobacterium
Lineage: Bacteria; Bacillati; Cyanobacteriota
Description: partial 16S ribosomal RNA
Rfam family: Bacterial small subunit ribosomal RNA
Source: RNAcentral